This 734-nucleotide ribosomal RNA is filed under the name uncultured bacterium. RNAcentral describes it as "bacterial SSU rRNA". It matches the Rfam family "Bacterial small subunit ribosomal RNA", at positions 771 to 1501 of the family's 1533-position model. The record is from RNAcentral.
AACAGGAUUAGAUACCCUGGUAGUCCAUGCCGUAAACGUUGGGCACUAGGUGUGGGGGACAUUCCACGUUUUCCGCGCCGUAGCUAACGCAUUAAGUGCCCCGCCUGGGGAGUACGGCCGCAAGGCUAAAACUCAAAGGAAUUGACGGGGGCCCGCACAAGCGGCGGAGCAUGCGGAUUAAUUCGAUGCAACGCGAGGAACCUUACCAAGGCUUGACAUGGACCGGACCGCUGCAGAGAUGUAGCUUCCCUUCGGGGCUGGUUCACAGGUGGUGCAUGGUUGUCGUCAGCUCGUGUCGUGAGAUGUUGGGUUAAGUCCCGCAACGAGCGCAACCCUUGUCCUAUGUUGCCAGCACGUAAAGGUGGGGACUCAUGGGAGACUGCCGGGGUCAACUCGGAGGAAGGUGGGGAUGACGUCAAAUCAUCAUGCCCCUUAUGUCUUGGGCUUCACGCAUGCUACAAUGGCCGGUACAGUGGGUUGCGAUACUGUGAGGUGGAGCUAAUCCCUAAAAGCCGGUCUCAGUUCGGAUCGAAGUCUGCAACUCGACUUCGUGAAGUUGGAGUCGCUAGUAAUCGCAGAUCAGCAACGCUGCGGUGAAUACGUUCCCGGGCCUUGUACACACCGCCCGUCAAGUCACGAAAGUUGGUAACACCCGAAGCCCAUGGCCCAACCCUUGUGGAGGGAAUGGUCGAAGGUGGGACUAGCGAUUGGGACUAAGUCGUAACAAGGUAACC